Molecule: ribosomal RNA, 487 nt
Filed under: uncultured bacterium
Lineage: Bacteria
Description: bacterial SSU rRNA
Rfam family: Bacterial small subunit ribosomal RNA
Source: RNAcentral
GAUGAACGCUAGCGGCAGGCCUAACACAUGCAAGUCGAGGGGCAGCGGGAAAAAGCUUGCUUUUUUGCCGGCGACCGGCGCACGGGUGCGGAACGCGUAUGGAACCUGCCCCUGUCAGGGGAAUAGCCCAGGGAAACUUGGAUUAAUGCCCCAUGGUACCGUUACAUCGCAUGAUGUUUCGGUUAAAGAUUUAUCGGACAGGGAUGGCCAUGCGUACCAUUAGUUAGUUGGCGGGGUAACGGCCCACCAAGGCAGCGAUGGUUAGGGGCCCUGAGAGGGGGAUCCCCCACACUGGUACUGAGACACGGACCAGACUCCUACGGGAGGCAGCAGUGAGGAAUAUUGGACAAUGGGCGGGAGCCUGAUCCAGCCAUGCCGCGUGCAGGAUGACUGCCCUAUGGGUUGUAAACUGCUUUUAUACGGGAAGAAACGCACCUACGUGUAGGUGUCUGACGGUACCGUAAGAAUAAGGACCGGCUAACUCCGU